UACGUAGGUGGCAAGCGUUGUCCGGAUUUACUGGGCGUAAAGAGCGCGCAGGCGGUCGAUUUAGUCGUGUGUGAAAGCCCCCGGCUCAACUGGGGAGGGUCACGCGAUACUGAUCGACUCGAAGGCAGGAGAGGGUAGUGGAAUUCCCGGUGUAGUGGUGAAAUGCGUAGAUAUCGGGAGGAACACCAGUGGCGAAGGCGACUACCUGGCCUGUUCUUGACGCUGAGGCGCGAAAGCUAGGGGAGCAAACGGG
This 253-nucleotide ribosomal RNA is filed under the name uncultured bacterium. Its description in RNAcentral is "partial 16S ribosomal RNA". It matches the Rfam family "Bacterial small subunit ribosomal RNA", at positions 524 to 776 of the family's 1533-position model. The record is from RNAcentral.